CUGCAUGUAAUUACACCUCACAACUUUCCUCAGGUGGGUUUCAAUGUUCACUAGCAGCAAAAAAGAUUCCCUGGUUGUAUAUGCAGUUCACUUUCUGCAUGUCUUGUUCUAAAUUACCUUUGAGGCAUUG
Molecule: non-coding RNA, 130 nt
Organism: Erinaceus europaeus (western European hedgehog)
Lineage: Eukaryota; Metazoa; Chordata; Mammalia; Eulipotyphla; Erinaceidae
Source: Rfam